GGGAAGGGGCAGAUAGUAGUUCCACUUAUUUGAUGGAGGUCGCAGUAGACCUGAUAGACUCAGCUGUGUGUAACUCACCUACUGUUUACGGCGGACGUAUCACUGAGCAUAUGCUGUGUGCAGGAGAUCUUAAGAGAGGGAGAGACUCCUGCCAGGGCGACAGUGGGGGUCCACUGGUGUGUAAAGCUGAUGACAAAUGGUAUCUCACAGGCGUAACAAGUUGGGGAGAUGGCUGUGGAAAACAGAACCGUCCAGGGGUCUACAGUAACGUAGGGCAACUUUUAAUGUGGAUAUAUGGCAAG
Molecule: long non-coding RNA, 302 nt
Organism: Sinocyclocheilus grahami
Lineage: Eukaryota; Metazoa; Chordata; Actinopteri; Cypriniformes; Cyprinidae
Exons: 3
Source: RefSeq, a predicted model, not a curated record